Molecule: ribosomal RNA, 1216 nt
Filed under: Staphylococcus aureus
Lineage: Bacteria; Bacillati; Bacillota; Bacilli; Caryophanales; Staphylococcaceae
Description: partial 23S ribosomal RNA
Rfam family: Bacterial large subunit ribosomal RNA
Source: RNAcentral
UCGAUUCCCUUAGUAGCGGCGAGCGAAACGGGAAGAGCCCAAACCAACAAGCUUGCUUGUUGGGGUUGUAGGACACUCUAUACGGAGUUACAAAGGACGACAUUAGACGAAUCAUCUGGAAAGAUGAAUCAAAGAAGGUAAUAAUCCUGUAGUCGAAAAUGUUGUCUCUCUUGAGUGGAUCCUGAGUACGACGGAGCACGUGAAAUUCCGUCGGAAUCUGGGAGGACCAUCUCCUAAGGCUAAAUACUCUCUAGUGACCGAUAGUGAACCAGUACCGUGAGGGAAAGGUGAAAAGCACCCCGGAAGGGGAGUGAAAUAGAACCUGAAACCGUGUGCUUACAAGUAGUCAGAGCCCGUUAAUGGGUGAUGGCGUGCCUUUUGUAGAAUGAACCGGCGAGUUACGAUUUGAUGCAAGGUUAAGCAGUAAAUGUGGAGCCGUAGCGAAAGCGAGUCUGAAUAGGGCGUUUAGUAUUUGGUCGUAGACCCGAAACCAGGUGAUCUACCCUUGGUCAGGUUGAAGUUCAGGUAACACUGAAUGGAGGACCGAACCGACUUACGUUGAAAAGUGAGCGGAUGAACUGAGGGUAGCGGAGAAAUUCCAAUCGAACCUGGAGAUAGCUGGUUCUCUCCGAAAUAGCUUUAGGGCUAGCCUCAAGUGAUGAUUAUUGGAGGUAGAGCACUGUUUGGACGAGGGGCCCCUCUCGGGUUACCGAAUUCAGACAAACUCCGAAUGCCAAUUAAUUUAACUUGGGAGUCAGAACAUGGGUGAUAAGGUCCGUGUUCGAAAGGGAAACAGCCCAGACCACCAGCUAAGGUCCCAAAAUAUAUGUUAAGUGGAAAAGGAUGUGGCGUUGCCCAGACAACUAGGAUGUUGGCUUAGAAGCAGCCAUCAUUUAAAGAGUGCGUAAUAGCUCACUAGUCGAGUGACACUGCGCCGAAAAUGUACCGGGGCUAAACAUAUUACCGAAGCUGUGGAUUGUCCUUUGGACAAUGGUAGGAGAGCGUUCUAAGGGCGUUGAAGCAUGAUCGUAAGGACAUGUGGAGCGCUUAGAAGUGAGAAUGCCGGUGUGAGUAGCGAAAGACGGGUGAGAAUCCCGUCCACCGAUUGACUAAGGUUUCCAGAGGAAGGCUCGUCCGCUCUGGGUUAGUCGGGUCCUAAGCUGAGGCCGACAGGCGUAGGCGAUGGAUAACAGGUUGAUAUUCCUGUACCACCUAU